GACGCCGGCGGUUCGCCGCCGGUGACGUUGUGAGAAGUUCAUUAAACCUUAUCAUUUAGAGGAAGGAGAAGUCGUAACAAGGUUUCCGUAGGUGAACCUGCGGAAGGAUCAUUGCACACACGAGUUGCAGCCAACCCGCGGCGAACGAACACAUUGUCCCCCUCGGCGGGUCGUGGCGCCUCGCGGCGUUGCGGCCGGCCGGCUCCCUUCGCCACGCGCGAGCGGGUUCCUCGUGAGCUCCCUCGCGACGCGGCGUCGGGUUCACACCAGAUGUAUUCACCUUGACCGAAUGACUGAGUCCCGAAAACACUUUUACUUAAAAACUUGGAGAGGGAGUGGGUGCGAACUCGCUCCCUCUUCGAGUUGAGUUGAGUUGUGGUGUGGAAACAUAACCAAAACAACUCUCAGCAACGGAUAUCUUGGCUCUUGCAACGAUGAAGAACGCAGCGAAAUGCGAUACGUAGUGUGAAUUGCAGAAUUCCGCGAAUCAUCGAGUCUUUGAACGCAAGUUGCGCCCGAGGCUUGUCCGAGGGCAUUUCCGCUAGAGCGUCACCGCGCCCCCCACCAACCCACUCCCGCCGGGAGUCGGGUCGAGUGAAAGUGGCCGUCCCAGCGUCGGGCUUCGCGGCCUGACGGAGGGUCGGCUGAAAUGGAAGGAAUCGGGCCGCCGUGGUGACACAGUCCGCGAUCGGGUGAUCCGCGCUCCCGGAAUUUUUUCGGGAGCCCGGAAUUUUUCUAAGUGCGUGGCUGCGUCCCCAGUUGGCUCCGGUUACCCCUUGCAGGUCGAGCGCGCCGCGGCGCGCGUCACGUCACGCAUCAAACCUCUAAUCGGAAAAACUACCCCU
This 845-nucleotide ribosomal RNA is filed under the name Hygrohypnum luridum. Its description in RNAcentral is "eukaryotic LSU rRNA". The stretch from base 400 to 552 matches the Rfam family "5.8S ribosomal RNA". The record is from RNAcentral. Lineage: Eukaryota; Viridiplantae; Streptophyta; Bryopsida; Hypnales; Amblystegiaceae.